GGAAACAUCCAGCGCAGCCGAGAAACAACAAAAUAAUUUAACAGAAGCUUUAUUAUAACUAUUGGCAUAAUCUCACCAAAUAUAAAGUUGUUUCUUGGGUGCGCACAUACUUUUUCAAUCAAAAAUAUACUUAAAAUUUAAUGAAAAAUCAAGGAAAAUCACGUAUUUUAACAAAAUAUGCAAAUUAGGUCAUGAUUUGUUACCAUGGUAACUUGUUCGAUGUCAAAUUUGUUCUGAUUUUCUUAGUACCUUAUACCUAAGUCAAGUUUUCGGUUAUUUAAG
RNAcentral lists this long non-coding RNA (282 nucleotides) under Mytilus galloprovincialis (Mediterranean mussel). Lineage: Eukaryota; Metazoa; Mollusca; Bivalvia; Mytilida; Mytilidae. The record is from RNAcentral.